GGAUGCGAUCAUACCAGCAGUAAGCACCGGAUCCCAUCAGAACUCUGAAGUUAUGCGUGCUUGGGCGAUAGUAGUACUAGGAUGGGUGACCUCCUGGGAAGUCCUCGUGAUGCGUCCC
This 118-nucleotide ribosomal RNA is filed under the name Oryza brachyantha (malo sina). The record is from RNAcentral. Lineage: Eukaryota; Viridiplantae; Streptophyta; Magnoliopsida; Poales; Poaceae.